Molecule: ribosomal RNA, 261 nt
Filed under: uncultured bacterium
Lineage: Bacteria
Description: partial small subunit ribosomal RNA
Rfam family: Bacterial small subunit ribosomal RNA
Source: RNAcentral
AGAAUCAACGCUGGCGGCGUGCCUAACACAUGCAAGUCGAACGAGAAAGGGGAGCAAUCCCUGAGUAAAGUGGCGACCGGGUGAGUAACACGUGACUAACCUACCCUCGAGUGUGGAAUAACAUCGGGAAACCGAUGCUAAUACCGCAUAACAUCGGCGCUUUUAAGAGAUGCCGAGUCAAAGGAGCAAUCCGCUUGAGGAGGGGGUCGCGGCUGAUUAGCUAGUUGGCGGGGUAACGGCCCACCAAGGCGAAGAUCGGUA